Molecule: transfer RNA, 70 nt
Filed under: Coleoptera sp. 1 AH-2016
Lineage: Eukaryota; Metazoa; Arthropoda; Insecta; Coleoptera
Description: tRNA-Lys
Source: RNAcentral
CAUUAGAUGACUGAAAACAAGUACUGGUCUCUUAAACCAUUUUAUAAUAGAAUAGUUCCUAUUUCUAAUG